This 301-nucleotide ribosomal RNA is filed under the name uncultured bacterium. RNAcentral's name for it is "partial 16S ribosomal RNA". It matches the Rfam family "Bacterial small subunit ribosomal RNA", at positions 509 to 809 of the family's 1533-position model. The record is from RNAcentral.
CAGUAGCCGCGGUAAUACGUAGGGUGCGAGCGUUAAUCGGAAUUACUGGGCGUAAAGCGUGCGCAGGCGGUUGUGUAAGACAGGUGUGAAAUCCCCGGGCUUAACCUGGGAACUGCGCUUGUGACUGCACAGCUAGAGUAUGGCAGAGGGGGGUGGAAUUCCACGUGUAGCAGUGAAAUGCGUAGAGAUGUGGAGGAACACCGAUGGCGAAGGCAGCCCCCUGGGCCAAUACUGACGCUCAUGCACGAAAGCGUGGGGAGCAAACAGGAUUAGAUACCCGCGUAGUCCCUGUCUCUUAUAA